AAGUCGAGCACACGUAUUUGCGGGCGCGCGCCUCCGUCCUCGUGAGUUCAAAGUGGAUUUUAACCGUUUACCUCCGACGACAGUUUUCAUUUCCAUGGCAAAUUCUAAGGUCAUUUUCUUGUUGUGUUUUGAUGUUUUCCAUUGGCUGAAGACUAAGAUGAGCCUGAAGAGGAGAUUUGGGAAGUCUUUGCUUUGCCAGAUCACCUGUGGUCGGGAUGUCUGCUAACAAGAUGCCUUGUUGGUCUGGGCGAGUUUGAAGUCUCUCACAGACAGUCCAGAAGGUCUGGAGUCCAUCUUAGCUUUUAUUGAUGCUGUCAUCAGGUUUUAAGUACAGUAUGAGCCAGAAUGGAAGGGUGUUGGUGGCCAUAAGAAGACUGUGAGCUAAACCUACAACAAAAUUCAUAUUUGCAGUUUUCCUAGAAUAUUUUUUUCUAUUCAGAUGAAUAAAAUUACUUUAAAAUAUUA
Paramisgurnus dabryanus is the source of this 465-nucleotide long non-coding RNA. RefSeq lists it as uncharacterized. NCBI's taxonomy places the organism in Eukaryota, Metazoa, Chordata, Actinopteri, Cypriniformes, Cobitidae. The record is from RefSeq and is a predicted model, not a curated record.